RNAcentral lists this microRNA precursor (275 nucleotides) under Oryza rufipogon (brownbeard rice). RNAcentral describes it as "MIR821 microRNA precursor family". It matches the Rfam family "MIR821 microRNA precursor family". Lineage: Eukaryota; Viridiplantae; Streptophyta; Magnoliopsida; Poales; Poaceae. The record is from Rfam by way of RNAcentral.
GACUUCAACUGAAAAAGUCAUCAACAACAAAGUUGAAUAACUUAUCAUGAUCUAAAACUUUUAUUGUGGUCAUUUCUUCAUACGACAAAGUGAUAGUAACACUGUUCACAAAAUUGACAUAUCUCUUAUCUGGUUUUAUAAACUAUAACACAUAUAUGUAAAAUUUGUUAAUAAUAUUACUAACAUUUCGUCGGAUGAAGAAAUAACAAAAAUAAAAGUUUUAGAUCUUGAUGAGUUAUUCAACUUUGUUGUUGAUGACUUUUUCAGUUGAAGUC